CAAUGCCCAUGCAUUGCGUGCAGUGUCCCACAAGGUGGAUGCGGUAUACUGUGACGGAGGAUGCAGUGCCCAUGAAGGAGGAUGCAGUGAGCCUGAAGUGAUUGCAGUGUGCUGGCAGUGCCACUUCAACUGUAUACAGUGUCUCUGCAGUGGUUGCAGUGCUGUCAGCAUUGUCCGGGAAUGCGGAUGCAGUACCCAGGAGGUGGAUGCAGUGUCACACAAGUUGGAUGCUGUAUGUUGUGACAGAGGAUGCAGUGCCCAUGAUGGUGGAUGCAGUGAUCCUGCAGUUGUUUCCGUACACACUGCAGUGUCCCUGAAUGUGGAUGCAGUGAACACGAAGAGGAUGCAGUGAUUCUGCAGUGAUUUCUGUGCACCUGCAGUGCCAUUUCAGCUGGCUGCAGUGUGCCUGCAGUGGUUGCAGUGCCCCCUUCUGUGUCUCUGAAUAUGAAUUCAGUGCCCAUGCAUUGGAUGCAGUGAACCAAUAGAUGGAUGUGGUAUGUUGUGACAAAGGAUGCAGUGCCCAUGAAUGUUGAUGCAGUGAUCCUGCAGUGGUUGCAGGGUGCAUGCAGUGCCACUUCAGCUGGAUGCAGUGUCCCUGCAGUCGCUGCAGUGCAACCGGCACUGUCCCUGAAUUUGGAUGCACUGCUCAUGCCGUUAUGAAGUAUGUUGUGAUGGAGGAUGCAGUGCCCAUGAAGGCAGAUGCAUGAUCCUGCAGUGAUUGCAGUGCGCCUGCAGUGCCACUUCAGCUGGAUCCAGAGUCCCUGCAGGGGCUGCUGUGUCUG
RNAcentral lists this long non-coding RNA (782 nucleotides) under Equus caballus (horse). Its description in RNAcentral is "lncRNA (ENSECAG00000058974.1)". The record is from RNAcentral. Lineage: Eukaryota; Metazoa; Chordata; Mammalia; Perissodactyla; Equidae.